CAGCCAAACAGGUGAGUGAAUAAGUUCACACACACACGCACACACAUUCUCUCAUAGUCCUGGAGGGCAGGAGUCUGACACGGGCUCAUCAGGCUAAAAUGAAGGUAUCCACUGGGCUGGCUUCUCUUGGAGGCAGCAGGGAGAGCUUGUCUCCCUCCCUUCUCCAGCUUCCAGAGGUGCCACUAUCCGUGGCUCCAUCUUCUGAGCCAAAAGGUAGCAUCUUCUAGUCUCUGACUCUGACCCUCCCAUCUCCCCCUUUGUAAGGACCCUUGUGAUGACAUGGGGGACACCCGGGGAAUCCAUGACUAUCUCCCCACCUUGAGGUCUGUAAUGUGUUCACAUCUGCAAAGUCUCUUUGGCCACGAAAGUCCCUAGGACAUGGACAUGUUGGGUCAUCUUCCCGCCUACCAUAGGUUCCUUCCCUCUUGAACUUUCUAAGGCCUGGUAAGAGCUGCAUCCUCCAUGAAACCCACCGUCAGUUCCAGCAGUAGCUGAUGUUCACGCAGGCCUUCCUCCCCGCCCCCCAGUUGCCGAGGUGCCCUAUGUAAUCCACAGCACCCCCCUAGAGUGAAGGCCUGUCCACAUUCAUGCGGAGGUGAGCAGCGGAGCGGGAACUGUACCCCCUCCUGCCAGAGCCUGAGCUGUCGACCACAUCUGUGACUGUUGCCCAGUGUCACCUCAUUGAAUCAACAGGAAUCAGAGGUUCAGAGAACAAACUCAGCUCCAGGGCCUCCCACUCGUUGCCGGUGGGAAUCAGAACAUGCAGCCACUUUGAAAGACGGGUGGGCAACUUUCUCACAAAGCCAGUCAUAGGCUUGACCGUGUGAUCCCCGAGUUGUGCUCCUAGGUGUUCACCCAGAGGAGCUGACAGCGGGUGUCCACACAGACACCUGUGUGAAGGUGCCGCAGCAGCUUUAUUCAUAAUCGCCGGGCAGGACUAGAGCCAGAGCAGGCGGGAGACAGGGGCAGACAGAGGUCACUGAGGUGCAGCCACUGACAUCACAGUGCCGUCUGAGCUCUUGACUUCGGACAGAGUCCAGGGAGAAAGGCCCACACCUGUCACCUGGUGAUGGACUCGGCUUCAUCUCACACCCUCUGGCUCAGCAUCCCCACCCUUGCUGGUUCCCACACCCCACGCUCAUGUGCCCUGACCUCUGGUCUUGGCUAUGCCCUCUCCCCACUCGCCAUCCUGACCCCUCUGUGUUCACUAUAACCAGGACAAAGCCCUCCAUCUGUCUCCCCUGUGCUCCAAGAGUGGAUAAGUGAACCUCCUGGUGAGGGGCAUCUCUCCAUCUAGCUACUAGUCCACACCACUGUCAUGGUUUCCUUUUCCUAGACAGUCAGCUGGAGGUGUCGGGGUGGGGGUGAGGGGGCCAACCAGUGACGUUUCCCGGCUGGCCGGAGGUCCUAGUGCCCAAGCUGGGCUUCCAGAGCCCUCAGUGGACCGCUGGACAGUAGCUGGGUACCUUCUCUGAUCCGGCAGCCCCACACCAUCUUGGGCCUUCCUGGACGCACCCCAGCCCCUGCAUGCCCGGCCCAACGUAGUGACAGGCAGGUCCCCGAAAGCCCUGCUCUGAGAACCUGGGUGCACCCAUCAUCUCAUCUCCACGGCAACCCUGGGAGAAGGGCGAUUAUGAUCAAAUCCACUCUGCAAGUGAGGCUCUGAGGCUCGGAAAAGCCGGUGACUCGCACACCCUCGGAGUCAGAAGGCGUCAGGGCCGGGUCCAUACUCAACCUCGAAAUGAAAAAUAAAUUCCGCUCUAAGCUUCCUGGCAACAAAGGCCCAAGAGGGAAGUCUUCAUCAUCUGAAGAUGGAAACACCAGCUCACCUGGCAGGGAGAUGCACGCCUGACACCAAAUUCUAGGACAAACAUGCUUUCUUCUAAACAGCCAGGAGUUCUGCUUUCACUUUUGAAAGGCAGGCUGGUAUCCAGAUGUUUUUAAAUCUUAUCAACAUGCUUAAAAGGUAAGGAGACACUUCACUGAAUCAAGCACAUGGAAUCCUAACUCUCUAGCUCUAACCAAAGAUAAAAACAAAAGCGGUCUUCUGCUUUUCCAGGAUUUCUUUCCUGGAAACAGCUACCUGCUAGUAAAACUGAACGCUAGGUCUCUGGAAACAUCAGGUAGCCCCAAAUGCUGAAAGAGUCAUAGCAACUAACGAUGAUCAGAAGGAAACGAAGGAAAGAAUGUCCUAACCGCAGGGCACAGCUCAGCAUCCAGAGCAUCUGAUUGAGUUUCGAUGCUUCUACCUGAGUGACAGAAGUGGGCACGGUGCUGUUCCCCGUCGGGUCCUCAGGACGCCCUUACCAAACGAAGAGCAGGGUGAAACCCUCCACCCCAGGCCAGGGGGCUUCACAUCCGACAGUAAUUGUAAUAAUGAGAUUCUAGCUGUAGGGGGUGGGCAGGCGGCGGUGCCCUGGAGACUUAAACUGUGAUCUGUUGA
Molecule: non-coding RNA, 2443 nt
Organism: Odocoileus virginianus texanus
Lineage: Eukaryota; Metazoa; Chordata; Mammalia; Artiodactyla; Cervidae
Source: RefSeq, a predicted model, not a curated record